UACGUAGGGGCCGAGCGUUGUCCGGAGUUACUGGGCGUAAAGCGCGCGCAGGCGGCUCGUCAAGCCUGACGUGAAAGCCCCCGGCUCAACCGGGGAGGGUCGUCGGGGACUGGCGGGCUUGAGGUCGGCAGGGGUUGGUGGAAUUCCCGGUGUAGUGGUGAAAUGCGUAGAUACUGGGAGGAACACCAGUGGCGAAGGCGGCUACCUGGACCGGUUCUGACGCUGAGGCGCGAAAGCGUGGGUAGCAAACAGG
RNAcentral lists this ribosomal RNA (253 nucleotides) under uncultured bacterium. Its description in RNAcentral is "partial 16S ribosomal RNA". It matches the Rfam family "Bacterial small subunit ribosomal RNA", at positions 524 to 776 of the family's 1533-position model. The record is from RNAcentral.